Molecule: ribosomal RNA, 561 nt
Filed under: Iridopagurus reticulatus
Lineage: Eukaryota; Metazoa; Arthropoda; Malacostraca; Decapoda; Paguridae
Description: partial 16S ribosomal RNA
Rfam family: Bacterial large subunit ribosomal RNA
Source: RNAcentral
UAUAUGGUGUUAAAUAUAGUUUAACCUGCCCACUGAAUUAUUUAUUUUAAAGGGCCGCAGUAUUUUGACUGUGCGAAGGUAGCAUAAUAGAUUGUCUUUUAAUUGGAGGCUKGUAUGAACGGUUGGACGAGAGAUUAACUGUCUUUUAAGUAAUUUUUGAAUUUUACUUUUAAGUGAAAAGGCUUAAAUAAUUUAAAAAGACGAUAAGACCCUAUAAAUCUUUACAUAAAAUUAUAUUUAUUUUGAAAUUAUAAGUUAAUUAAAAUAAAGGUUUUUUAUGUUUUGCUGGGGCGGCAUAUGUAUAAAAUUUAACUGCUUAUUAAAAUAAAUCAAUAAUCUUUGAUUAAUGAAAUAUAUUAUUGAUCCUUAUAUAGAGAUUAAAAGACAAAGAUACUUUAGGGAUAACAGCGUUAUUUUUUCUGAGAGUCCAUAUCGAAGAAAAAGUUUGCGACCUCGAUGUUGAAUUAAAGUAUCUAUAUAAUGCAGAAGUUAUAAUAGAGAGUCUGUUCGACUUUUAAUUCUUUACAUGAUUUGAGUUCAAACCGGCGUAAGCCAGGUUGG